GGGGCUUUGGCGCAGUUGGUAGCGCGCUUCCGUGGCACGGAAGAGGUCAGGGGUUCGAAUCCCCUAAGCUCCACCA
Molecule: transfer RNA, 76 nt
Filed under: Enteractinococcus helveticum
Lineage: Bacteria; Bacillati; Actinomycetota; Actinomycetes; Micrococcales; Micrococcaceae
Description: tRNA-Ala
Rfam family: tRNA
About the family: Transfer RNA (tRNA) molecules are approximately 80 nucleotides in length. Their secondary structure includes four short double-helical elements and three loops (D, anti-codon, and T loops). Further hydrogen bonds mediate the characteristic L-shaped molecular structure. tRNAs have two regions of fundamental functional importance: the anti-codon, which is responsible for specific mRNA codon recognition, and the 3' end, to which the tRNAs corresponding amino acid is attached (by aminoacyl-tRNA synthetases). tRNAs cope with the degeneracy of the genetic code in two manners: having more than one tRNA (with a specific anti-codon) for a particular amino acid; and 'wobble' base-pairing, i.e. permitting non-standard base-pairing at the 3rd anti-codon position.
Source: RNAcentral